Molecule: ribosomal RNA, 507 nt
Filed under: uncultured bacterium
Lineage: Bacteria
Description: partial 16S ribosomal RNA
Source: RNAcentral
GGAGUUAGCCGGUGCUUCUUCUGUGAGUGAUGUCCUUCCUGCCGGUUAUUGACCCGCAGGCCUUCUUCCUCACUGAAAGUGCUUUACAACCCGAAGGCCUUCUUCACACACGCGGCAUGGCUGGAUCAGGGUUGCCCCCAUUGUCCAAUAUUCCCCACUGCUGCCUCCCGUAGGAGUCUGGGCCGUGUCUCAGUCCCAGUGUGGCUGAUCAUCCUCUCAGACCAGCUACGGAUCGUCGCCUUGGUUAGCCGUUACCUCACCAACCAGCUAAUCCGACAUAGGCUCAUCCGAUAGCGCGAGGCCCGAAGGUCCCCCGCUUUCCCCCGUAGGGCGUAUGCGGUAUUAGCCUGGGUUUCCCCAGGUUAUCCCCCACUACCGGGCAGAUUCCUAUGCAUUACUCACCCGUCCGCCGCUCGCCACCAGGGAGCAAGCUCCCCGUGCUGCCGCUCGACUUGCAUGUGUUAGGCCUGCCGCCAGCGUUCAAUCUGAGCCAGAAUCGAACCCUGA